GAUGAACGCUGGCGGCGUGCCUAAUACAUGCAAGUCGAGCGAACAGAUAAGGAGCUUGCUCCUUUGACGUUAGCGGCGGACGGGUGAGUAACACGUGGAUAACCUACCUAUAAGACUGGGAUAACUUCGGGAAACCGGAGCUAAUACCGGAUAACAUAUUGAACCGCAUGGCUCAAUAGUGAAAGGCGGCUUUGCUGUCACUUAUAGAUGGAUCCGCGCCGUAUUAGCUAGUUGGUAAGGUAACGGCUUACCAAGGCAACGAUACGUAGCCGACCUGAGAGGGUGAUAGGCCACACUGGAACUGAGACACGGUCCAGACUCCUACGAGAGGCAGCAGUAGGGAAUCUGCCGCAAUGGGCGGAAGCCUGACGGAGCAACGCCGCGUGAGUGAUGAAGGUCUUCGGAGCGUAAAACUCUGUUAUCAGGGAAGAACAAAUGUGUAAGUAACUGUGCACAGCUUGACGGUACCUGAUCAGAAAGCCACGGCUAACUACGUG
This 497-nucleotide ribosomal RNA is filed under the name uncultured bacterium. Its description in RNAcentral is "partial 16S ribosomal RNA". It matches the Rfam family "Bacterial small subunit ribosomal RNA", at positions 28 to 507 of the family's 1533-position model. The record is from RNAcentral.